This 906-nucleotide ribosomal RNA is filed under the name Duganella sp. LT9CD. Its description in RNAcentral is "bacterial SSU rRNA". It matches the Rfam family "Bacterial small subunit ribosomal RNA", at positions 49 to 948 of the family's 1533-position model. Lineage: Bacteria; Pseudomonadati; Pseudomonadota; Betaproteobacteria; Burkholderiales; Oxalobacteraceae. The record is from RNAcentral.
CCUUNCAUGCAAGAUCGAACGGCAGCACGGGGCAACCUGGUGGCGAGUGGCGAACGGGUGAGNCCNUAUAUCGGAACGCUACCCUGGAGUGGGGGAUAACGUAGCGAAAGUUACGCUAAUACCGCAUACGAUCUAAGGAUGAAAGUGGGGGAUGCGCAAGCACCUCAUGCUCCUGGAGCGGCCGAUAUCUGAUUAGCUAGUUGGUGGGGUAAAGGCCUACCAAGGCAUCGAUCAGUAGCUGGUCUGAGAGGACGACCAGCCACACUGGAACUGAGACACGGUCCAGACUCCUACGGGAGGCAGCAGUGGGGAAUUUUGGACAAUGGGCGAAAGCCUGAUCCAGCAAUGCCGCGUGAGUGAAGAAGGCCUUCGGGUUGUAAAGCUCUUUUGUCAGGGAAGAAACGGUGAGAGCUAAUAUCUCUUGCUAAUGACGGUACCUGAAGAAUAAGCACCGGCUAACUACGUGCCAGCAGCCGCGGUAAUACGUAGGGUGCAAGCGUUAAUCGGAAUUACUGGGCGUAAAGCGUGCGCAGGCGGUUUUGUAAGUUUGUCGUGAAAUCCCCGGGCUCAACCUGGGAAUUGCGAUGAAGACUGCAAGGCUAGAAUCUGGCAGAGGGGGGUAGAAUUCCACGUGUAGCAGUGAAAUGCGUAGAGAUGUGGAGGAACACCGAUGGCGAAGGCAGCCCCCUGGGUCAAGAUUGACGCUCAUGCACGAAAGCGUGGGGAGCAACCAGGAUUAGAUACCCUGGUAGUCCACGCCCUAAACGAUGUCUACUAGUUGUCGGGUUUUAAUUAACUUGGUAACGCAGCUAACGCGUGAAGUAGACCGCCUGGGGAGUACGGUCGCAAGAUUAAAACUCAAAGGAAUUGACGGGGACCCGCACAAGCGGUGGAUGAUGUGGAUUA